GGAAGGGCUGCUGUAAUUUUAUGUUUUUGACUCAUCCCCCUAGGCCUCUCAUAGUGUCCCAUGCCAGAGCAAACCCGGCCCUGAACCAUUGCCAGGCCUCUGCCAGUAGGCUGCAGGCACUGAAGCAGGUUGCACAGUG
Moschus moschiferus (Siberian musk deer) is the source of this 139-nucleotide small nucleolar RNA. The record is from Ensembl. Lineage: Eukaryota; Metazoa; Chordata; Mammalia; Artiodactyla; Moschidae.